Molecule: long non-coding RNA, 497 nt
Filed under: Bos taurus (domestic cattle)
Lineage: Eukaryota; Metazoa; Chordata; Mammalia; Artiodactyla; Bovidae
Description: long non-coding RNA NONBTAT002925
Source: RNAcentral
CUUCUAAUUAUCAUCAUUUAUAUAUCAUAGUGGUACCAGUUGGCAUUUUACAGAACAGAGGACGGCACCCUCCCAGGCACGGGUCACGUUGAAGACAGCUAUUAUGACAAUACAGUGAUAAUACGCCGGGUGAGAGGGUGGACAUGAACCGCGCAUGAGAAAUUACUGGCUUUUCCCUCCACCAGUUCGGGGAGGGAAAGAGCUGGUUCUCACUGUGACGGAUUAGGCUUAGCAGCUUAGCUCAAUCACAGAGAACAAGCAGGCUCACGUUUCAGUUUGAGAUGUAAUUUAUGUUUUUAGUUGCAUCUAACCGAGUAGCAUCCUCAAGCAGUAAAACCCUAGGCAAACGUUCCUGGGUGAACACUAGCGCAGAUGAACCUUCCGGAAGGAGCGCCUUUCAUCACAGAUGCGCUGAUUGGCAAGGAAGCGAGUUACAGGAAGGUGGCUCUCUCGCUUUUCCUGAAGCAUAUUGUCUUCAGUGCCUCCAGCUGGGGGCU